RNAcentral lists this unclassified non-coding RNA (210 nucleotides) under Hevea brasiliensis (rubber tree). The record is from RNAcentral. Lineage: Eukaryota; Viridiplantae; Streptophyta; Magnoliopsida; Malpighiales; Euphorbiaceae.
AUUUUCUAGACUUAUAAUUCUGAUUUAAUUUUGUUGACGAUUAUGUAUUAUUUCUAGCUAUUAGGUUUAAUUCUAUAUUGACAAAGAAAAGAGCGUGCCGCUUCCUCUGUGUUGUGAAAACCGAGAGCCAUCAAGUCCCUGGCUGGGAAGGGUGCAUCCCUUCUUUUAUCCACUUUUUAACCUCUCUUGGGGCCAAAAAAGGUUGAGGUG